CCAGACUCCUACGGGAGGCAGCAGUGAGGAAUAUUGGUCAAUGGGCGCGAGCCUGAACCAGCCAAGUCGCGUGAGGGAUGACGGCCCUACGGGUUGUAAACCUCUUUUGUCGGGGAGCAAAGAGAGUCACGUGUGGCUCAUUGAGAGUACCCGAAGAAAAAGCAUCGGCUAACUCCGUGCCAGCAGCCGCGGUAAUACGGAGGAUGCGAGCGUUAUCCGGAUUUAUUGGGUUUAAAGGGUGCGCAGGCGGAGGUGCAAGUCAGUGGUCAAAUUGCGGGGCUCAACCCCGUACUGCCGUUGAAACUGCAUCCCUUGAGUGCGCGAGAAGUAUGCGGAAUGCGUGGUGUAGCGGUGAAAUGCAUAGAUAUCACGCAGAACUCCGAUUGCGAAGGCAGUUCACUGGACUGCAACUGACACUGAGGCUCGAAAGUGUGGGUAUCAAACAGGAUUAGAUACCCUAGUACUA
Molecule: ribosomal RNA, 466 nt
Filed under: uncultured bacterium
Lineage: Bacteria
Description: bacterial SSU rRNA
Rfam family: Bacterial small subunit ribosomal RNA
Source: RNAcentral